Molecule: long non-coding RNA, 865 nt
Organism: Zonotrichia leucophrys gambelii
Lineage: Eukaryota; Metazoa; Chordata; Aves; Passeriformes; Passerellidae
Exons: 3
Source: RefSeq, a predicted model, not a curated record
GCAAAAAGUCAGUGGCAGUGGCAAGCACUCAGCACCUUUGGCAACCAGGCCAGAAGACAUUCUCUUCAUCUUCCCACAGGUGGAUUGAAUAAGAAAGACACCAUGAAUAGUUCAAAGCUUUAGAAUGAACAAGUGCACUUUGUCACAUUUUCAGGUCUGUGCUCUCUCUCACCUUGCAUUUUUGACAUCUUUUCAAACUAAAACAGUGAGAGAAACAGCCUGCCCUGAAGCUGGUCUCUCUGGUUUAAUUAAAAGCUUUAUUUCAGCUUUGUGUAAACUGUGUGUGCUAAAUGACAGCAAUUUCAGCAAAGAAGAAUAUUGCUUGCCCUCCCACCAGUCAUCUCCAGGUCAACUGCAGAGAGCUCAAAAUACUUAUGCUCUACACUUCUUUAGACACCCACUCCCCCACCAUCAGGAUCAGUGAGAGAAGUGGACCAAUAACAGUUGGAAGACCCAUGGGUGAAGAUAAAGGCAGUUUAAUUGGAAAAGCAAAAGCCAUGCACAUAAGCAAAAAGAAACAAAGAAUUAACUCACUGCUUCCUGUGGGCUGGCAGAUGUUCAUCCAUCCCCAGGAAAUCCAGGAUCCUUCAUGAGUAAUGAUUACACUUGUGAUUUUUUGCUGGAAAAAACCCAACCCAACAAACAUCAAAUAAAGAAUGAAGAAUCUCAACCACUUGCUGCCAAAACAGGAGAGCCACAAAGGUGACAUAAUGAGCUGCAUCUUAGCAGAGUCUUUUUCAAUGCAACUGCUGUGGCUGAAAGCUCUAAGUGCCACAGAUCAGCAAUCCUAUUCCAUUUAGACCUGCUGGCAAUAGCUGGAAAAUCGCCAUGGUGAAUACCUCAAACAAGAACACUUACAGUGCCU